This 253-nucleotide ribosomal RNA is filed under the name uncultured bacterium. RNAcentral's name for it is "partial 16S ribosomal RNA". It matches the Rfam family "Bacterial small subunit ribosomal RNA", at positions 524 to 776 of the family's 1533-position model. The record is from RNAcentral.
UACGUAGGGUGCGAGCGUUAAUCGGAAUUACUGGGCGUAAAGCGUGCGCAGGCGGUUUUGUAAGCCAGAUGUGAAAUCCCAGGGCUUAACCUUGGAACUGCAUUUGUGACUGCAUAGCUAGAGUACGGUAGAGGGGGAUGGAAUUCCGCGUGUAGCAGUGAAAUGCGUAGAUAUGCGGAGGAACACCGAUGGCGAAGGCAAUCCCCUGGACCUGUACUGACGCUCAUGCACGAAAGCGUGGGGAGCAAACAGG